RNAcentral lists this ribosomal RNA (703 nucleotides) under Streptomyces sp. RNAcentral describes it as "bacterial SSU rRNA". It matches the Rfam family "Bacterial small subunit ribosomal RNA", at positions 76 to 794 of the family's 1533-position model. The record is from RNAcentral. Lineage: Bacteria; Bacillati; Actinomycetota; Actinomycetes; Kitasatosporales; Streptomycetaceae.
CACUUCGGUGGGGAUUAGUGGCGAACGGGUGAGUAACACGUGGGCAAUCUGCCCUGCACUCUGGGACAAGCCCUGGAAACGGGGUCUAAUACCGGAUACUGACCACCGCGGGCAUCUGUGGUGGUCGAAAGCUCCGGCGGUGCAGGAUGAGCCCGCGGCCUAUCAGCUUGUUGGUGAGGUAACGGCUCACCAAGGCGACGACGGGUAGCCGGCCUGAGAGGGCGACCGGCCACACUGGGACUGAGACACGGCCCAGACUCCUACGGGAGGCAGCAGUGGGGAAUAUUGCACAAUGGGCGCAAGCCUGAUGCAGCGACGCCGCGUGAGGGAUGACGGCCUUCGGGUUGUAAACCUCUUUCAGCAGGGAAGAAGCGAAAGUGACGGUACCUGCAGAAGAAGCGCCGGCUAACUACGUGCCAGCAGCCGCGGUAAUACGUAGGGCGCGAGCGUUGUCCGGAAUUAUUGGGCGUAAAGAGCUCGUAGGCGGCUUGUCGCGUCGGUUGUGAAAGCCCGGGGCUUAACCCCGGGUCUGCAGUCGAUACGGGCAGGCUAGAGUUCGGUAGGGGAGAUCGGAAUUCCUGGUGUAGCGGUGAAAUGCGCAGAUAUCAGGAGGAACACCGGUGGCGAAGGCGGAUCUCUGGGCCGAUACUGACGCUGAGGAGCGAAAGCGUGGGGAGCGAACAGGAUUAGAUACCCUGGUAGU